This 56-nucleotide microRNA precursor is filed under the name Heliconius melpomene (postman butterfly). Its description in RNAcentral is "Hme-Mir-2-P2b_pre stem-loop". The record is from RNAcentral. Lineage: Eukaryota; Metazoa; Arthropoda; Insecta; Lepidoptera; Nymphalidae.
UCGUAAAAAUGGCUGUGCCAUGGUACAUAUUCAUAUCACAGCCAUUUUUGACGAGU